This 512-nucleotide long non-coding RNA is filed under the name Homo sapiens (human). RNAcentral's name for it is "HSALNT0388984". The record is from RNAcentral. Lineage: Eukaryota; Metazoa; Chordata; Mammalia; Primates; Hominidae.
GCAUGUCAUGUGAUCUCCCUGUGAAUGAGCCAAGACAAGGACUCCCAGCCUUCUGACUGCUAAAUCAUUGCUCUCUUCAUUACAUCAUAUUGUCACAGCUGUUUUGCAAGAUGACUAAUUUAUGAGAAUAGUUCAAACAACGUAUCUGGAAGUAGAUUUUUAAAAAGUACAACUUCAUUUUAUUCUCCAAAUAAAAGACUGCUGAAGCUUCUGAGAAAAAGAAAAAAGAGUGAAGGAUCAUCUUUGAUCAUGCAGUGAGCUGAUUCCAAAAUGUGGACAAAAAGCAGACUCAAAGGCAAUGGUUCCGAGAAACAGUGAAUGUCACAAGGAGACACCUGGGCUCUUUAUAAAGAGGUCUCUCUCAGCCUCCCUGCGCUUAGGGACAGUGGACAGCACUGCAGCACUGCACUUGGGGCCAUUUUAAACAGCGAAGUCACCAAAACCAAGCAAAAGAAUGCUAAAAGCACAGUACUAAACAGACCAUGGAAAAGAUAUAUGUACAGCAUGAGAAG